This 1023-nucleotide long non-coding RNA is filed under the name Homo sapiens (human). RNAcentral's name for it is "HSALNT0332841". Lineage: Eukaryota; Metazoa; Chordata; Mammalia; Primates; Hominidae. The record is from RNAcentral.
UUCUUAACAGGAAAAAAAAAAUCCUAGCCCUGCUCAAGAAACACUAAUGAAGACAAGGAAAAUGUUGGAGCUAUUUUAAAUGAUGAAGAAACUGAGACUCAGGGAAGAGAUGUAUCCCAUCAAUGCCGGUAAACGGCAGGCCCAACACUGAAUCUCGUUAAAUCCAACUGUUUCCACCUCCUCCAUAUUGUCUUCUAAAAAGAGAAGAACUGGCAGGAGAAAUGCCACACGGUCCCAGUGGCCUAUAUGCAUAUGAAACUCUGAAAGAAUGGACCUUCCUCUCAGAUGGAUGGAACUAGAAUUUCAAGAGGGUGAGGGAGAGCCCCUGCUGUUGUCUCUCUCUAUCCUCCCACUGCUUGGUUCUGGAUAUGGGAUAUGCAGGAAUUACAUGGCAGAAUGGGCAAAUAAAGUCCAGCUUUCUACCAGAAGAUUAAAAAAAGGAAUCUCAGAGAAUUGGAAUGUAUCACGGAGAUAGCAGAGAGGGAAAAGUUCAGGAAAGUAAACUCAUAAAAGUAUUUCUGAACUCCUAGUCUUAUGACCUGUACAAAUACAGGUUGACCUCAACCAGCAUCCUAUAAACUUUGAGAAUUGAACUAUAGGACAGAUUAUUGGCCAGGUCUCAGAAUGGCCACUGGAUGGUGCAAACCUGGGUCUGAUCUGAAUACCACUACAAAGCUUUGAAAAUGGAAUAGACAUUGAAACUACAGAAGGCUGUUUGAAACUUGUGGCGUCAAUCCAAACAUGCUGUUCAUCCAGUAAAACAAAAACUUCAAAAUUCUUCAUAGAUUUGAAUAAGACCCAGCAUCUUAAAACAUAAUCCAAAAUGUCCAUGAUAAAAUAAAAAAUUACUCAGCAAAUGAAGAACCAGUAAAAUCUCAAAUUGCAUGGAAAAGGCAGUUAACAAAUGCCAAUGCUGAGAUGAUAUAGAUGUUGAAAUUAUCUGACAAAGACUUUACAACAGCUAUUAUAAACACGCUCCAAGAAGUAAGAGUAAAUAUUUUUGAAAUGAGUGGAAAGAUAGAA